Molecule: non-coding RNA, 1206 nt
Organism: Sesamum indicum (sesame)
Lineage: Eukaryota; Viridiplantae; Streptophyta; Magnoliopsida; Lamiales; Pedaliaceae
Source: RefSeq, a predicted model, not a curated record
UUGAUUCUCUUGUUUUUCACUCAUAAUUAUGCUUAAAAAUUGGAAAAUAUUGACCCUGGUUUAAGCGAGUUGGUGUAUUGAAGUUAUUGUAUUUGUUUGGCAUGUGUGCUCUUCUUUCCCCCCCUCUAUAUCUGGUCUGAGUCUAUUGGAAGAGAGGGGGGGUGAUAUAACAUGGAGGCAAAAGUUUCCCGAGGCGUGCAAUUGCCCAAUUGGAUAAACCCAGAGAAGAUUGCAAGAAAACCGAACAGUUCUUUGCAGUUUUUUCAGAAAUAUGGGGAACAACGGUUGUACCGAGUACCUGCUUCUUGUAAUCUGCUAACUAAAAGAGGAAGAUUCCAUGGGCCUGCAGUUUUAAAGAUCUCGUGUUCUUCUGAAAGCAGUCCAGGUAGUAAGUAGAGGCAAUUAUGUUUAAUGCUGUGAAUGGAUUACUCUCUUUAUGUUGGUUCUGAGCUUUGUUUUUCCUUCUCUCCCUUUCUAAUCAUAUGUAAAGCUUAUCUAGUUUAAUAUUCAGAGCUGAUCAAGGUGGAUGCUUGUUAGUAGUUUCAUUAUCUGACUUGAGCUAUUUUCCAUCAGAAGAUUGUUAAUUGAUCCGUUUGAACUGCUAAAUUAUUUGAUCAUUGCCGUAGUUAUGACGUUAUGUGAACCGCGGUUGGGUGUUUCAGAUGGAUAUUGGAGCAAUACCACCGUAAAGUGUUAACCUCUUUACAACCCUCUUGAUACAAAAGUAAAUGUCCAAAAGCCCAAUAUAAUGCUUGUUCUGCAUCACCCGUUAGAUCGUCACAUGAAAGAAAUCAAUAUUUUUGUGCGCACAAUGUUCUGGGAAUUUAUUUGCACUAUUCAUUGGGAGUGUUAACUCAUUUUUGGACUGGGGAAACAAACGUAUCUUCCAUUUUUAUUGUCUGUUUUGUUGUUCCAUUGCUAUAAUGGACUCCUUCUGUCCAUGUUUUCAGUUCAUUUAUAUGCACUGCAGAAGUUAACAAGUGAAGUUAAUUUGGUGGCCCACUUUUCUCUUAUGUUGGACAUGUGAACAAUAUGGUACAACGUAUUGUCCACACACAGCUGUGACCUCAAAUUAUCUCGUGGAACUGUGAACAACACUUGUGCAGUCAUUUAUGCAAUUUUUCACAGUUCAACAUUUUCAUUUAUCAUUGAUUCAGCUUAUUCAAGUUGUAUGAGAACAUCUAUCUAUGACAUUGCGUCUCUCCG